AGUGAACGCUGGCGGUAGGCCUAACACAUGCAAGUCGAGCGGCAGCACAGUAAGAGCUUGCUCUUACGGGUGGCGAGUGGCGGACGGGUGAGGAAUACAUCGGAAUCUACUUUUUCGUGGGGGAUAACGUAGGGAAACUUACGCUAAUACCGCAUACGACCUACGGGUGAAAGCAGGGGAUCUUCGGACCUUGCGCGAUUGAAUGAGCCGAUGUCGGAUUAGCUAGUUGGCGGGGUAAAGGCCCACCAAGGCGACGAUCCGUAGCUGGUCUGAGAGGAUGAUCAGCCACACUGGAAGUGAGACACGGUCCAGACUCCUACGGGAGGCAGCAGUGGGGAAUAUUGGACAAUGGGCGCAAGCCUGAUCCAGCCAUACCGCGUGGGUGAAGAAGGCCUUCGGGUUGUAAAGCCCUUUUGUUGGGAAAGAAAAGCAGCAGGUUAAUACCCCGCUGUUCUGACGGUACCCAAAGAAUAAGCACCGGCUAACUUCGUG
RNAcentral lists this ribosomal RNA (492 nucleotides) under uncultured bacterium. RNAcentral's name for it is "partial 16S ribosomal RNA". It matches the Rfam family "Bacterial small subunit ribosomal RNA", at positions 29 to 507 of the family's 1533-position model. The record is from RNAcentral.